UGGAUAGCUCAGCCAGUAGAGCAUGAGAUUAUUGAUCUCAAGGUUGUGAGUUCAAGCCCCACAUUGGGAAAAA
Molecule: transfer RNA, 73 nt
Filed under: Podarcis lilfordi (Lilford's wall lizard)
Lineage: Eukaryota; Metazoa; Chordata; Lepidosauria; Squamata; Lacertidae
Description: tRNA.Asn
Rfam family: tRNA (bases 5-62)
About the family: Transfer RNA (tRNA) molecules are approximately 80 nucleotides in length. Their secondary structure includes four short double-helical elements and three loops (D, anti-codon, and T loops).
Source: RNAcentral